This 253-nucleotide ribosomal RNA is filed under the name uncultured bacterium. RNAcentral describes it as "partial 16S ribosomal RNA". It matches the Rfam family "Bacterial small subunit ribosomal RNA", at positions 524 to 776 of the family's 1533-position model. The record is from RNAcentral.
AACGUAGGUGGCGAGCGUUAUCCGGAUUUACUGGGCGUAAAGGGUGUGCAGGCGGGCUGUUAAGUGGUGUAUGAAAUCUCCCGGCUCAACCGGGAAGGGUUAUGCCAGACUGGCAGUCUAGAGAGCGAGAGAGGGACGUGGAAUUCUGGGUGUAGUGGUGAAAUGCGUAGAGAUCCGGAGGAACCCCAGAGGCGAAGGCGGCGUCCUGGCUCGCAUCUGACGCUCAGACACGACAGCAUGGGGAGCGAACGGG